RNAcentral lists this ribosomal RNA (492 nucleotides) under uncultured bacterium. Its description in RNAcentral is "partial 16S ribosomal RNA". It matches the Rfam family "Bacterial small subunit ribosomal RNA", at positions 29 to 507 of the family's 1533-position model. The record is from RNAcentral.
AGUGAACGCUGGCGGUAGGCCUAACACAUGCAAGUCGAACGGCAGCACAGUAAGAGCUUGCUCUUACGGGUGGCGAGUGGCGGACGGGUGGGGAAUAUAUCGGAAUCUACUUUUUCGUGGGGGAUAACGUAGGGAAACUUACGCUAAUACCGCAUACGACCUACGGGUGAAAGCAGGGGAUCUUCGGACCUUGCGCGAUUGAAUGAGCCGAUGGCGGAUUAGCUAGUUGGCGGGGUAAAGGCCCACCAAGGCGACGAUCCGUAGCUGGUCUGAGAGGAUGAUCAGCCACACUGGAACUGAGACACGGUCCAGACUCCUACGGGAGGCAGCAGUGGGGAAUAUUGGACAAUGGGCGCAAGCCUGAUCCAGCCAUACCGCGUGGGUGAAGAAGGCCUUCGGGUUGUAAAGCCCUUUUGUUGGGAAAGAAAAGCAGCAGGUUAAUACCCCGCUGUUCUGACGGUACCCAAAGAAUAAGCACCGGCUAACUUCGUG